Symphalangus syndactylus (siamang) is the source of this 2933-nucleotide long non-coding RNA. RefSeq lists it as uncharacterized. The record is from RefSeq and is a predicted model, not a curated record. NCBI's taxonomy places the organism in Eukaryota, Metazoa, Chordata, Mammalia, Primates, Hylobatidae.
GGAACACAAAAGACUCAAACAACAGAGUUCAAGGGUCUACUUGCUAACUCUGAGACCUACAGCAAAACCCAAAUGAACCACCAACUGUAAUGGUCUAUUUUCUUGGGCUCAGAGCAACUAUGUGAACUCAGAAGGAAAUUAUAGGCUUUAAAUGAUCCUUAAUACCCUGCAUUUCAGUGUUACCUACAUACGCCACCUCAGAGGAUAGCAUUUCUGUAGUAGCCGUGGUAUGACACACUGCCAAGAUUAAUAGGCCUAUCCAGGGGAAGCUCCCAGGACAAUGACAAGAUACAAGUAUUUAAGCAAGAUUUCUUUAAAAUAUCCUUAAACUGCUUACCCAUAUGGUACUGGAAAAAGAUGGAACUUGGCAACUGGCAAUCUUGAGUUCUAGCCCCUGUCCUGCUACAGAUGGGAUAGUGAUCUUGAGCCUGUUAACAACACUGACAGGAGCAACAGCAGUAAUAACUGUCAAAUAACAGUACCAUACCUUAUACAACUGCUGUGUGGAUUUAAUUUUACAUUGCAAUACAAUGUCAAUUAUUACUGAUUUUUUUUCUCAAGAAAAAGAUAAUUCUUAUUUAUUUAUUUUUUUUUGAGACAGGGUCUCAUUCUAUCACCCAGGCUGGAGUGGUGCCAUCACAGUUCACUGCAGCCUGGACCUCCCAAACUCAAGUGAUCCUCCCACCACAGCCUCCCAAGUAGCCUGGACUACAGGUGAGUGCUCUGCUAAGCUCCACAACAAGUUCCAAGCUAGUAGUGGCCAGCUACUCAGCCUUCUCAGGAAACUCACCUUCUCUCCUUGGAGUGAUGGGACUGAGUCCCGCAAACUGUGAAAGCUGUCUUUGAUGUGGUCCCUACGUUUCCGUUCCAGUGCAUUAUGAUGAGCCCGUUUGUCAGCCUAGAAAAAUGGGAGAAAGAACAUAUUAGGAAUGUCACUCCUUUUGCUUGGUACAAGGUGGGUGGGGUACAGCCUGGAAGUACACGCUGUCAGCACUGUCCCUGGCGAGUGGCCUGGGAAGGAUUUCUCGAGGUGGGCAGUUAGGAGUCUCCAGAAUUAGGAUCUGCUAAAGGGGGAGAAAGGGGUGAGCAACGCUUGCGACAGGAACAUCCAAAGUAGCUCGAUGCAUCCAGCUCAUGCAUAAGUAAAAUAAAAGUUAUUCGGGGGGACAAAGUGUGACUCUGCUGUAACAUCAGUGGUCCCCCCCCAACUUGCUUAUGUGACAGAAGAGCCACCAGUCUGUGGUUAGGAAGUGACUAGAGAAAGCUCCAGUGGCCCCUUCUUAAGAUGUGAUCACCUCCACUGUAAGAGAUUCCCCAGAUGGGCGUCCAGGGGAAGAAAGAGUUAAGUCACUGGUGCUUCUUUAAUGUGAAACCAUCGCCGUGAGUCCCAAGCCCACUAAAAGGCACUAGUUUAAGACCUUCUCACCAAAUCAUACAAUAGAAACUAAAACCUCUAUAAAACCUAGAUGCAUGAAUCUGAGAUCAUUAUGACAGAGCUGAUAAGAUGACAAAUGAAUUCUGAGUUCUUGUUUUUUAAAAGUAGAUCCAAGGUGCUAUCCUGCCAAGGGCUUUCUUGCACACAGGCAGUGCCAGACAGGCAGUUCUUAGAGGACACAACUUCUGACACCACAUACUCAGAAUAAAUUCCCUCAAGUACCUGUGGCAGGUCAGGCUAAUUUGGCAGUAUCUAAAUAUCCAAGUCAAAGUCUUAGCCUGCUUGGAAUCACAAAGAACAGUCAACUGGAGAUGGACCAAAACUGCCAACACCAAGUCAGGAAUGGCAAAAUGCUCUGGCUUCAGGCAGAAGAGAGCGCUGGAGAGCAUGGUAAGAGCACUUCAGCAGGUCCCCAUGAGAGGGGUCUCCCCUCCAAAUGGAACACAAACAACCCAAAGCAAGAAGAACUUCAUCGCACCUACACUCUAGGAAUUAUGGAAAUUAUGCUCUGAAUAUUCACCUUGAAUGCACAAGGUUGCACUGAGCUAACCUAGAGAGCCAGUCUGUACAUGGGAAGUUCAGGUAGCUUAAAUCUAUACACACAGAGGGCCAGAAAUUCAAAAAAUGGAACAAGAGUAAAUAACUUGGCUUAGCACAAGAAUAAUGCUGCCUCACAUGAAUCCUUGUACUAGAGAAGAUGUACAGACAAAAAUCUAUCAAGAGUUGUGAGAAUGAAAGGACUUGAAAUUCUCCUGUUAUUUAAUCCUAAAAGUCCUAGUCAUUACAGAGGAAGAGGAGGCUGGGAGCACCUGUGGUCAUCUGAGUUACUUCCUGGUCUCUUAAACAUAAUACCUCACCUACAGCUCUGUUGAAAUGGACAUGUGGUUCCCAUGACAACCAUGGUUCUCCAUAGCAUAUCUCUCUUUUGGGGGCAGAUGCCUGGAGCACUGCUAAAGUUGUCCUAAUCUUGUUAAGUCUGGAUUCACUGUAAAAUGAAUGUUUACUGAACUAUAGUGACAUAUGAAAUAUUAUGGAGAAGCUGAGAGGAUAGUCAAGUUUGGAACACCACAUAACCUGAGGCUAGAGGUAGGUACUCUGUAUCAUACAACUUUAGAGCAAAAUUUAUAGAUGCCUUCUAACAGUAGCAUGAAAUAGCGCGACAGAAUUAAACCUAUUUAAGUAUCUAGUCCUUUUGAACUUACUGUUGUUCCCUCUGAUCAUCUACAUAAAGAUAAGUUAGGCUGGGACUAUACCUAAGGAGCUUAAAGGCCAAGAGACAACAUUUGGCAUGUGUCUGCCGCUCCUGUUUGCUAUAUACUACCUAAGGUGGUUUAUUUACAUGCAAAUUAAUCGCCCAUCUUUGGUCUCCAGAGCAGCCCAAGAUACUCCUGUCUACUAAAUCACCCUGAUUCUUGGCCCUCCUCCCAGCUGAGAGCUAUGCACCAGAAUUACCCACAAUCCCUCUUGUUGAUACAAAUAAAAUUCUAAUUGUCUGUUU